This is a long non-coding RNA of Oncorhynchus tshawytscha (Chinook salmon), 902 nucleotides long. The record is from Ensembl. Lineage: Eukaryota; Metazoa; Chordata; Actinopteri; Salmoniformes; Salmonidae.
GCUAUAUCUGGGUCCAGCCAGACUGAAUGCUAAAUCAAAGUGUAUUGGUUGUGUACUCUGUCUAUCAGAUGUUACAGCAGGUGCAGAGAAAUGCUUCUAGGUAGUUGGCUAGGAGAUAGAAACAGGGAGACUGUCAGCGCCAUCUUGUUCAAAAGGUCAGGUCUUUCUGCGUCUGCCAGCGCCAUCUUGUUCAAAAGGUCAGGUCUUUCUGCGUCUGCCAGCGCCAUCUUGUUCAAAAGGUCAGGUCUUUCUGUGUCUCAGCGCCAUCUUGUUCAAAAGGUCAGGUCUGUCAGCGCCAUCUUGUUCAAAAGGUCAGGUCUGUCAGCACCAUCUUGUUCAAAAGGUGAGGUCUUUCUGUGUCUGUCAGCGCCAUCUUGUUCAAAAGGUCAGGUCUUUCUGCGUCUGUCAGCGCCAUCUUGUUCAAAAGGUCAGGUCUUUCUGUGUCUGUGCGCCCGCCCCUGUUGAAAACAGCACAACAGUGAUCUGCAUAAAGGGUAUUUUUCCAAGCAGAUUACAGUUCAGAUUAGGAUUAUCGGGACAGUGAAUUUAUUAGGAAGGAUUUAAUUUCUUUGAGGACAAUAAUCCUGAUGACAUUAUUAGCUCAAUGGCCCAUUGCUGUCCGUCCUAGCGUCCGUCCGUCUGUCCUAGCGUCCGUCCGUCUGUCCUAGCGUCCGUCCGUCUGUCCUAGCGGUCCGUCUGUCCGAGCGGUCCGUCUGUCCUAGCGGUGCGUCUGUCUGAGCGUCCGUCUGUCCUAGUGUCUGUCCUAGCGGUGCGUCUGUCCUAGCGUCCCGUCUGUCUGUCCUAGCGUCCGUCUGUCCUAGCGUCUGUCUGUCCUAGCGUCUGACUGUCCUAGCGUCUGACUGUCCUAGCGUCUGACUGUCCUAGCGUCUGUCUGUCCUAGC